UGCCUCCGACCUUGGCCCGCGGCCGCCGGUGAGCCUAGACCCGCGCGUCUCCAUCUACAGCACGCGCCGCCCGGUGUUGGCGCGCACCCACGUCCAGGGCCGCGUCUACAACUUCCUCGAGCGUCCCACCGGCUGGAAAUGCUUCGUUUACCACUUCGCCGUUUCAAGAAAUUAAGCAUACGGUCACGAGAGUGCAAAGUUCUGUGAAACGCUCCAGUGGUUACACGCCCCGGGGUUUCAGCUUCGACCCUGGUUCCUCAUCGUCCUGGUCUGCCUCAUCUUCAGCGUGCUGUCCACCAUC
This 301-nucleotide long non-coding RNA is filed under the name Homo sapiens (human). RNAcentral's name for it is "long non-coding RNA NONHSAT017521.2". Lineage: Eukaryota; Metazoa; Chordata; Mammalia; Primates; Hominidae. The record is from RNAcentral.